This 83-nucleotide transfer RNA is filed under the name Hippoglossus stenolepis (Pacific halibut). Its description in RNAcentral is "tRNA-Leu". It matches the Rfam family "tRNA". From Rfam's summary of the family: Transfer RNA (tRNA) molecules are approximately 80 nucleotides in length. Their secondary structure includes four short double-helical elements and three loops (D, anti-codon, and T loops). Further hydrogen bonds mediate the characteristic L-shaped molecular structure. tRNAs have two regions of fundamental functional importance: the anti-codon, which is responsible for specific mRNA codon recognition, and the 3' end, to which the tRNAs corresponding amino acid is attached (by aminoacyl-tRNA synthetases). tRNAs cope with the degeneracy of the genetic code in two manners: having more than one tRNA (with a specific anti-codon) for a particular amino acid; and 'wobble' base-pairing, i.e. permitting non-standard base-pairing at the 3rd anti-codon position. Lineage: Eukaryota; Metazoa; Chordata; Actinopteri; Pleuronectiformes; Pleuronectidae. The record is from RNAcentral.
GUCUAGUGUGGCCGAGUGGUCUAAGGCGCUGGAUUAAGGCUCCAGUUUCUCAGGAGGCGUGGGUUCAAAUCCCGCCACUGCCA